GGCCCGAUGGUCUAAAGGCAUGAUUCUCGCUUAGGGUGCGAGAGGUCCCGGGUUCAAUUCCCGGUCAGGCCC
RNAcentral lists this transfer RNA (72 nucleotides) under Nematostella vectensis (starlet sea anemone). It matches the Rfam family "tRNA". From Rfam's summary of the family: Transfer RNA (tRNA) molecules are approximately 80 nucleotides in length. Lineage: Eukaryota; Metazoa; Cnidaria; Anthozoa; Actiniaria; Edwardsiidae. The record is from Rfam by way of RNAcentral.